UGGGUGGGGGUCUAUCGGAGAGGGCCGUGGCUCAGCAUCAGGCGCGCAUCCUAAGGCAGGGCGGGCGGGGCCUCCCGAAGAGAAAGCGCGGGUCCUGGGGCGGGGCCUUUAGAAGAGAGCGCGGCUGAGCUCGGGUCGAGGCGGGGCCGGCCGCGCGUACUUAAGCAGUCUUGGCGCUUGCGGACGCCCCGCCAUGGCUCUGAGGUGCAUCGUUUCUGUGCUGCGCUUCGGCACUCCCCGCGUCGCCCCACUGUCCACGGCGCCCGUGGCUCGCGAGCAGUCCGCGGCUGGCGAGCAGUCCGCCGCAGGCCGGGAGGCCACUCCAGGAUGCCGGGCGGCCGAAGGUGCGCGACCGCCGUUGCCGGUCGUGGACUUCGGCAACACUCAGGAGGCGUACCGCAGUCGGCGCAGCUGGGAGCUGGCGCGCAGCCUGCUGGUGUUGCGCUUGUGCGCCUCACCUGCGCUGCUGGCGCACCACGAGCAGCUGCUCCAUCUCACCAGGAGACUUCUGGGGCAAAGGCUGUUUGACAAGCUGAUGAAGAUGACCUUCUAUGGGCAGUUUGUGGCUGGUGAGGACCAGGAGUCCAUCCGGCCCCUGAUCCAGCACAACAGGGCCUUUGGCGUGGGCUCCAUCCUGGACUACGGGGUGGAGGAGGAUCUGAGCCCCCAGGAGGCGGAGCACAAGGAGAUGGAGUCCUGUACAUCUGCUGUAGAGAGGGAGGGCAGUGGUACAAGUAAGAGGGAGAAGCAGUACCAGGCCCACCGGGCCUUUGGAGACCGCAGGGAUGGUGUCAUCAGUGCCCGCACCUACUUCUAUGCCAAUGAAGCCAAGUGUGACAGCCACAUGGAGACGUUCUUGCGCUGCAUUGAGGCUUCAGGCAGAGCCAGUGAUGAUGGCUUCUCAGCCAUCAAGCUCACCGCAUUGGGGAGACCCCAGUUUCUGCUGCAGUUCUCAGACGUGCUGACCAAGUGGAGACGAUUCUUUCACCAAAUGGCUGCAGAGCAAGGGAAGGCUGGGCUGGCUGCCAUGGACAUGAAGCUGGAGGUGGCAGUGCUACAGGAAAGUGUGGCAAAGAUGGGCAUCGCAUCCAGGACGGAGAUUGAGAGCUGGUUCACUGCGGAGACCUUGGGCGUGUCUGGCACUCUGGACCUACUGGACUGGAGCAGCCUCAUCGACAGCAGGACUGAGCUCUCUAAGCACCUGGUGGUCCCUAACAUGCAGACAGGACAGCUGGAGCCUCUCCUGUCACAGUUCACGGAGGAGGAAGAGCUGCAGAUGACGAGGAUGCUGCAAAGAAUGGACAUCCUGGCCAAGAAAGCCACCGAGGUGGGCGUGCGACUGAUGGUGGAUGCUGAGCAGACCUACUUCCAGCCAGCCAUCAGCCGCCUGACACUGGAAAUGCAGCGCAAGUUCAACAUAGAGAAGCCGCUCAUCUUCAACACAUACCAGUGCUACCUCAAGGACGCCUAUGACAACGUCACCCUGGAUGUGGAGCUGGCUCGCCGUGAGGGCUGGUGCUUUGGGGCCAAGCUGGUGCGGGGUGCAUAUAUGGCCCAGGAACGCGCCCGUGCCGCGGAGAUUGGCUAUGAGGACCCCAUUAACCCUACGUACGAGGCCACUCAUGCCAUGUAUCACAGGUGCCUCAAUUAUGUCCUGGAGGAGCUGAAGCACAAUGCCAAGGCCAAAGUGAUGGUGGCCUCUCACAAUGAGGACACAGUUCGCUUCACGCUGCGCAGAGGAAGUCAGGAGGCCUAGCUCAGAAGCCAGGUGGAGAACCUUGCCUGCUGGGAGAAGCUGCAGUCACAUGGCCUAGCGGGUGGAGAGGGGUCAGCAGCCACUUCCGCAGGAACCGUGUGAAUGUCCCCACCACUGCCAGUCAGGUGGGCAGCAACGUGGUGGCAGCCCUGCUCUCACAGGGUUCAUGUUCCAGUGAGGGACAGAGAUACUUAAACUGGAGACCGGGGCCACAUGGUAGAGACCAUGGCCUGCUUUAGAGUAGGUGGCCCCCACACUGGAGCCACUCUGACAGAAAGAGGGAGAGGACCUCUGGAGGAUGAUCCUCAUGUGGAGGGCCGGGGUGAGAUGUCCUCAAUGCUCUAGGAGUGAGGGGCCUGAGACAGUGAGAAGAGGGGGACCCUGGAGACAGGGAAGCACACUGUUGGCCUGCAGCCUGGGUGCGUGUGAGGAGGACCCAGGCUAAACAUGCCCUUGGAGGGAGGUGGAAGGAUGAGGACAGAUUCCAGAGCGCUGGUAAUUGAGUCUGGACAUGUGGAUACAGCAAGCUGGAGGUAAAAAUAUAAGAAUCCUCAGUAAGUAGACAUUGCAAACCUUGGAAAUUUUUCUAAGACCAUACAAGGGAGGUAUGAAGUCAGGAGAGGGUGCUGGGCACAGUUGGGGGUCAGGUGUUGGGCAGCACUAAGAGAAAUGUGAGCCACAUCUAUUCUAAAUGUUCUACUGGCCACAUAAGAGAUGACGUUAAUUUCAGUAAUACCUUUCAAUUAGGCCAACAUAUCCAAAAUAUUACCUAUAUUCAGUAUUUCAGAAAAACAAUACAUUCUUUUUUCCAGUUUUCAAAAUCCCAUGUGUGUUAGAUACUUCUAGCACAUCUCAGUUUAGACCAGUUGACUUUCAGAGACUCAGCAGGCACCAGUGGCUGGUGCUGCUGUAUGGGACAGAGCAGCCAGUAAGGGGAGGACAAGAGACCGGGUGGGACGGAGGGGAUGUGGCACUGAAGGAGAGGGGCUCAAAAAGGGGUUGGAGGAGGGUCUUUUGCUGGCUUACCCAGGCCGGGCUUUGGGGCAGGCCUGCCUCACUAGGUUAGGGCAGACGAGAAGGGAGAGGGAAGGGGCCAUGGGGAGCAAGCAUAGUGGGAGGGGGAGGCUGGCUGGGAGAGGAGCGAACUUGGUGGCCAUGACCUGAGGUGGGACUUGCAGGGCAGAUGCUUGGUCUGGGCAGCACAGAGCCUAAACCUAUGCCCCACCCUGCAGGGGAUGGAAGCUAAAGUGUAUGAAGAUCUGGGAGUGGAAGUGGAGGGUUCAGAGCUAGCUCAAGUUGCCCUGGGGGCUCACCUGCCAUCUUGUCUGUCUACAGGAUGGAGGAGCUGGGCCUGCACCCUGCUGACCGUCAGGUGUACUUUGGACAGCUACUGGGCAUGUGUGAUCAGAUCAGCUUCCCACUAGGUCAGGCGGGCUUUCCCGUGUACAAGUAUGUACCCUAUGGCCCUGUGAUGGAAGUGCUGCC
RNA transcript from Acinonyx jubatus (cheetah), 3241 nucleotides. It is a transcript of the gene named proline dehydrogenase 1, with no coding region annotated. Lineage: Eukaryota; Metazoa; Chordata; Mammalia; Carnivora; Felidae. The record is from RefSeq and is a predicted model, not a curated record. The transcript is spliced from 14 exons.